CUGGUGAUUCCUCCAUGAUCAGGGAGAGAGGCCGGCAUGGAAAUCAAUCCAUUCUUUUCCUCACUCUCACUUCAAUCAUCCACGCAGUCAUCUUUGUACUCACAGGUGUGACACAAUAGGGCACAGACCCGAGCGUGACACAGGUGGUGCCAGCUGCCGAAUCAGGUUUCAUGGUUGUGAAGAGGAAAGUAAAGGCGAUGUUCAGCUCGUCUCCCUGAAGAAUGUCCCCCUGAAUCAGGACGGGAAGUCCUUCCCGUGACUCCACUGAAAGAUAUCAGGCCUGUGUAAGGACAGUGUGUCGGAGCACAGCCACAUGACGGUCCACUCAUUGGCCUACAUCAUACCGUUUAUCCAAGACGGGUUUACACUUACACACCUAGCACGGGGCAUCUCAGAAGAGAACUUAUGAAAUAGACUGAAAUUUAAUGAUAGAUCUUCUUGGGUAGU
RNAcentral lists this long non-coding RNA (447 nucleotides) under Ictidomys tridecemlineatus (thirteen-lined ground squirrel). Its description in RNAcentral is "lncRNA (ENSSTOG00000034602.1)". The record is from RNAcentral. Lineage: Eukaryota; Metazoa; Chordata; Mammalia; Rodentia; Sciuridae.